CAUUUCCAAUCACAAUAUUUCGCGCCUUUUUAAGGCAGAUUUUCGAACUUUACGCAUUCAGACACAAUAAAAAACCCCCAUAGGUACCGGUACUAAUAUGGAAAUGAAAUGGUAUAAAAAGUACCUUAUCACAACAUUCGCUAUAAAUAAACACUAUCGCAAGAUUGCAACUUCCCAUACCAAGUGAAUAAUGAAAUCCGCGCGUGUUGCUAUUUUUUUUCUCUUUAUAAAAUUAGGAGGAUAACUUUAACGUCUUAAACCCACCCAACAGGGUACUACAUAAAACUACGGGGUAGUUCAUACGUCUUGGUCCCUAACCAUGGAAAAUUCCCACGAACUAUAAACCUGGAGCUAUGCUGUAGUCGGUAGGCCUAAGGGGUAGCUCCAUUCGAUAGGGGAGGUAGCUAUCGUUCCUAUGAAAUAGCUCAUACGGUCCCCCUACCGCCCCUACCAUCAAAAGCUGAUGCUAUAAUUAAACAGUAUCGCAUUAUAGCAAGAUUGCAGCAUCCCGUCCAAACGCGGUUAUUUUCUUUCUAUAAAAACACCAUGACUCCACAUCGCACCGCACGUAGCUUCAACGGCAGCUUCAACCACCUUAAAAUCCUUAACGGCCUCGACCAAAUGGAGAAUUUACAGUUAGGUAUGAAUAACAAUGCUGUCAUCCAAAAAAAAAAUAGGGGCGUUGCCGUCGUCGGUCCUCUUCGACGCAAAUUUUAUGUAAGUAGAGUAAGCGCUUUAAUUGUAAUAAUAAACUUCAAAUCACUAUUUCCGCUGUAAAUAAAAACACCCUACAUUUUGUUUGUUGUUUUUUCCCUGCCCACUCCUGUUCUGGUUAUAGGGAACCUACCUCCGAGAUGGAAUUAUAGGUUAGAAUGAGGGUCCUCGCACCUGUCUCCUGAAAUUACAAUUUCCUACCCUAUACCUAUAUGUCACAUCAAUCUAAUAGAGGGAGUCGAUUGAAAAUAUACCUCUAUAUGCAUUACGACGCCAAUAGAUGGCACCUCCGUACCAUUUAAUAUAUCUAUGAUUUAAUAAUAUUUAGAGGUUCGUUAUAAAUACAACUAUCGAAGCAUUAUAUCAUACAAGUCUAGUUAGCCUAGUGGUUAUGCUAUAGGACUUGUAAUCCGAUGGUUGGCGGUUCGAAUCCGUUCCAUUUAAAAA
This is a long non-coding RNA of Photinus pyralis (common eastern firefly), 1161 nucleotides long. RefSeq lists it as uncharacterized. The record is from RefSeq and is a predicted model, not a curated record. Lineage: Eukaryota; Metazoa; Arthropoda; Insecta; Coleoptera; Lampyridae. The transcript is spliced from 2 exons.